UACAGAGGUCCCAAGCGUUGUUCGGAUUCACUGGGCGUAAAGGGUGCGUAGGUGGUCGAGUAAGUCUGAUGUGAAAUCUUCGAGCUCAACCCGAAAAUGGCAUUGGAUACUAUUCGGCUGGAGGGUUGGAAGGGGGACUGGAAUUCUCGGUGUAGCAGUGAAAUGCGUAGAUAUCGAGAGGAACACCGGUGGCGAAGGCGAGUCCCUGGACAAUCCCUGACACUGAGGCACGAAAGCUAGGGGAGCAAACAGG
This 253-nucleotide ribosomal RNA is filed under the name uncultured bacterium. RNAcentral describes it as "partial 16S ribosomal RNA". It matches the Rfam family "Bacterial small subunit ribosomal RNA", at positions 524 to 776 of the family's 1533-position model. The record is from RNAcentral.